Molecule: non-coding RNA, 78 nt
Organism: Podarcis lilfordi (Lilford's wall lizard)
Lineage: Eukaryota; Metazoa; Chordata; Lepidosauria; Squamata; Lacertidae
Source: the annotation of a GenBank genome assembly
UCAGCAAGGGCCAUAGCUCAGUGGCAGAGCAUCUGUUUCCCACGCAGAAGGUUCCAGGUUCGAAUCCUGGCCUCGGAA